AUUGAACGCUGGCGGCAGGCUUAACACAUGCAAGUCGAGCGGGGUGAUGGUGCUUGCACUAUCACUUAGCGGCGGACGGGUGAGUAAUGCUUAGGAAUCUGCCUAUUAGUGGGGGACAACAUCUCGAAAGGGAUGCUAAUACCGCAUACGUCCUACGGGAGAAAGCAGGGGAUCACUUGUGACCUUGCGCUAAUAGAUGAGCCUAAGUCGGAUUAGCUAGUUGGUGAGGUAAAGGCCUACCAAGGCGACGAUCUGUAGCGGGUCUGAGAGGAUGAUCCGCCACACUGGGACUGAGACACGGCCCAGACUCCUACGGGAGGCAGCAGUGGGGAAUAUUGGACAAUGGGGGGAACCCUGAUCCAGCCAUGCCGCGUGUGUGAAGAAGGCCCUAUGGUUGUAAAGCACUCUAAGCGAGGAGGAGGCUCUUUUGGUUAAUACCCAAGAUGAGUGGACGUUACUCGCAGAAUAAGCACCGGCUAACUCUGUGCCAGCAGCCGCCGCCG
This 503-nucleotide ribosomal RNA is filed under the name uncultured bacterium. RNAcentral describes it as "partial 16S ribosomal RNA". It matches the Rfam family "Bacterial small subunit ribosomal RNA", at positions 30 to 523 of the family's 1533-position model. The record is from RNAcentral.